This 330-nucleotide long non-coding RNA is filed under the name Capsicum annuum. RNAcentral's name for it is "long non-coding RNA (CANN_LNC001649)". The record is from RNAcentral. Lineage: Eukaryota; Viridiplantae; Streptophyta; Magnoliopsida; Solanales; Solanaceae.
GAGGGUCCAGUGCAGCUUUCAUGCAGAAAACAGUUUUCCUGCAUGUUUCAUGUCUUCAGCCGGAGAAUUCACCGGCUUUGCUCGAGGAUGCGGUGGUUGAUAUGGCGGCGUCCGAGGACUAAGGUGGUGAUCAGGAGGUUUGGGAAGCUGAGUUCAAAAGGAAACCAUGGUCAGCUCAAAGAAAAACUAAGUUUCAAAUCAUCAACGACUCAUCCAAAUGGCCAGGCUAGGCAUAUUCGGCUAGCUACCUUUAAUGCUGCAUUAUUUUCCCUUGCACCUGCUGUGCCUAAGGCUGAAAAAUCAGUCAUAUUUGCUCAUGAUGAUGAUGAU